RNAcentral lists this ribosomal RNA (445 nucleotides) under uncultured marine eukaryote. RNAcentral describes it as "bacterial SSU rRNA". It matches the Rfam family "Eukaryotic small subunit ribosomal RNA", at positions 618 to 1063 of the family's 1831-position model. The record is from RNAcentral.
GUUAAAAAGCUCGUAGUUGGAUUUCUGUGUUGGUGAGGCGGCCGGCCACUCGUGGUUGUAGCUAGUUAUCACCGGCGCAUCUUGUCACAAGCCACGCUGGCUUUAAUUAGUUGGCGUUGGGGACUGACUCGUUUACUUUGAGAAAAUUAGAGUGUUCAAAGCAGGCUAUCGCCUUGAAUAUGUUAGCAUGGAAUAAUGAUAUAGGACUUUGGUUCUAUUUUGUUGGUUGUUCGAGAACCGAAGUGAUGAUUGAUAGGGACAGUUGGGGGCAUCAGUAUUCUGAAGCGAAGAGGUGAAAUUCUUGGACCUUCGGAAGACUAACAACUGCGAAAGCAUUUGCCUAGGAUGUUCUCUUUAAUCAAGAACGAAAGUUGGGGGAUCGAAGACGAUCAGAUACCGUCGUAGUCUCAACUAUAAACUAUGCCAGCUAGGGAUUGGUGGACGU